AUUCGCCCUUACAGUUACCUUGCUACGACUUCACCCCAGUCAUCGGACCCGCCUUCGACGAGCUCCCUCCUGUUUAAGUUGGGUCACCGGCUUCAGGCGUUUCCAACUCCCAUGGUGUGACGGGCGGUGUGUACAAGACCCGGGAACGUAUUCACCGCGGCAUUCUGAUCCGCGAUUACUAGCGAUUCCAGCUUCAUGUAGUCGAGUUGCAGACUACAAUCCGAACUGAGACGUUAUUUUUGAGAUUUGCUCACACUCGCGUGGUCGCUUCCCUCUGUUUACGCCAUUGUAGCACGUGUGUAGCCCUGGCCAUAAAGGGCAUGAUGAUUUGACGUCAUCCCCACCUUCCUCCAAGUUGUCCCUGGCAGUCCCUCCAGAGUGCCCACCUUAAAUGCUGGCUACUGAAAGUAAAGGUUGCGCUCGUUGCGGGACUUAACCCAACAUCUCACGACACGAGCUGACGACAACCAUGCACCACCUGUCUCCAAUGCCCCGAAGGGAACCAGGCAUUACCCUGAUGUCAUCG
This 526-nucleotide ribosomal RNA is filed under the name uncultured bacterium. Its description in RNAcentral is "partial 16S ribosomal RNA". The record is from RNAcentral.